Molecule: ribosomal RNA, 1047 nt
Filed under: Pseudomonas sp. FSL R10-2245
Lineage: Bacteria; Pseudomonadati; Pseudomonadota; Gammaproteobacteria; Pseudomonadales; Pseudomonadaceae
Also listed under: 1 other name
Description: partial 23S ribosomal RNA
Rfam family: Bacterial large subunit ribosomal RNA
Source: RNAcentral
CAGUGAAAUCGAGUAGGACGGAGCACGAGAAACUUUGUCUGAAUAUGGGGGGACCAUCCUCCAAGGCUAAAUACUACUGACUGACCGAUAGUGAACUAGUACCGUGAGGGAAAGGCGAAAAGAACCCCGGAGAGGGGAGUGAAAUAGAUCCUGAAACCGUAUGCGUACAAGCAGUGGGAGCCUACUUUGUUAGGUGACUGCGUACCUUUUGUAUAAUGGGUCAGCGACUUAUUUUCAGUGGCAAGCUUAACCGAAUAGGGGAGGCGUAGCGAAAGCGAGUCUUAAUAGGGCGUCUAGUCGCUGGGAAUAGACCCGAAACCGGGCGAUCUAUCCAUGGGCAGGUUGAAGGUUGGGUAACACUAACUGGAGGACCGAACCGACUACCGUUGAAAAGUUAGCGGAUGACCUGUGGAUCGGAGUGAAAGGCUAAUCAAGCUCGGAGAUAGCUGGUUCUCCUCGAAAGCUAUUUAGGUAGCGCCUCAUGUAUCACUGUAGGGGGUAGAGCACUGUUUCGGCUAGGGGGUCAUCCCGACUUACCAAACCGAUGCAAACUCCGAAUACCUACAAGUGCCGAGCAUGGGAGACACACGGCGGGUGCUAACGUCCGUCGUGAAAAGGGAAACAACCCAGACCGUCAGCUAAGGUCCCAAAGUUAUGGUUAAGUGGGAAACGAUGUGGGAAGGCUUAGACAGCUAGGAGGUUGGCUUAGAAGCAGCCACCCUUUAAAGAAAGCGUAAUAGCUCACUAGUCGAGUCGGCCUGCGCGGAAGAUUUAACGGGGCUCAAACCAUACACCGAAGCUACGGGUAUCACUUAGGUGAUGCGGUAGAGGAGCGUUCUGUAAGCCUGUGAAGGUGAGUUGAGAAGCUUGCUGGAGGUAUCAGAAGUGCGAAUGCUGACAUGAGUAACGACAAUGGGUGUGAAAAACACCCACGCCGAAAGACCAAGGUUUCCUGCGCAACGUUAAUCGACGCAGGGUUAGUCGGUCCCUAAGGCGAGGCUGAAAAGCGUAGUCGAUGGAAAACAGGUUAAUAUUCCUGUACUUCUG